GUAUUGGGGCACUCGGCAAUCCGUUCUGCAGACCAAGUUCCGAAGGUGUAAGGGGACUUCGCCACUUGCCAGCCUGGGUUUUUGAUUCCACCUAUCCUCGCCGGCGAUUACGUUUAUCUGUUGGUCUUCGUUUUCUUCUCUGUUCAAUCGGAGAAACUCUUCUCAGACACCAAACCUUCAAGAUAACCUCAAAUGUCUGGAAGGAACCGUGGUCCCCGAGAAGCAAUCAAUGAUCGGCGGGGUUACCCACCUGAAGCGCUCUUUAUUCCAGGGCUUCCAUUGCCCCGCGCACCUAUGCCGCCUCAUCCGGCUCUAUUGGAAGAGGAGCUUGAAAUGCAGCAUGCAGAAAUCCGGAGGCUUGUGGCAGAUAAUCGAAGGCUGCUUGAGGAUCGAAUGGCAUUUCAGCGUGACCUUGCAGCUACAAAAGAGGAACUGCAUAGGAUGAAUCUUGCCAUUGCUGACAUUCAUGCAGAACGAGAGCUGCGUGCAAGGGAAUUCAAUGAGAAAAGACAGAAGUUGGAAUCUGAUAUUCGGGCAGCUAAGCCCUUGAAGAAUGAGGCUGUACAAUUGCGAACUGAAGUUCAGCAACUUAAGAAUGUUAACAAGGAUCUUGAAGCGAAGGUUCAGACACUUACCCAAGAUCUUCUGAGGUUAAAAACUGACAAUCAACAAAUUCCUAUGUUGAGGGCUGAGAUCGAUGGAAUACACCAAGAGCUUUUGCGUGCUAGAACCAUGGUUGAUUAUGAAAAGAAAGCAAACAUAGAGAUGAUGGGACAGAGACAGGCAAUGGAGAAAAAUUUGGUUUCCCUGGCUCGCGAAGUUGAGAAAUUACGUGCUGAGUUAUCUAGUUCCAAUAGCAGACAGUGGGGUGCUGGUGGGACGUAUGGGACGAAGUUUGGCAGCCCUGAGGGGCGUUUUCCUGCUCCAUAUGCUGAUGGAUAUGGUGAUCAUAUGGGAGGCACUUCAUGGGGACAUCAUGAGAAGGCUCGCAUGAAUCGUCGUUGAGGUCUUGGGAUUGCUGUUGGAGAUGAAGAGCAGCUUUCUCCGUCACUCUUUGAGUUUCAGUCAAGGAAUGGCUGAAACAACUUAUUAAUCUAUGUUCACAUCACUGGUCAUUUAUCUGAAUAUAUUAUUGGAUGCUUGGAAUCUUGUCAAGACUGGUGGCCUAGAAAAAAGCCUGUGUCUUUUUUACGCUACUGGGGGAGAUAAAUUUCUUGAAGACCAAAAGGCUUUUGAUUAUUUCGGGGAGCAAAAUCUGAAGAUGCUUAUUCCGGGAUGAAAAUUUGUCAAGAGCCCAUAGAAGGGUAUGUCUUGCCUGGUAGCGAUGGAGUCGUGUAAAAAAUAACAAAGGAAGACCGCAUGGUAUUUUAUUGUUUCAAGGAGCGAAUUCUGAUCAUGCUGAUUCGGGAAUGAAGAAUGAUCAGCCAUGUUGUUCAAUCAUGUUUUGCCCACUGGUGAAUGGUGAGGAAUCACUUAGGAAAGAGACAAAAAUUAUUGUUUGCAGGAAAAAAAAAAAGAUCCAAGGGUUACAUAUACGGGGAUGAAAAUGUUUUUUUAUCACGAAGGGCAAUCCUUUUCAUUAAGACUGGGUCUCCUGACCGCCAUUUUUGCAAGGAUACAUAAUUUUUUUUUUUAAUAAAAUAAAUUUUAAGUGAGAUAGAUUCCCAGAAGUGAUCGAAGCUGGGGCGUGCUUCUGGAUUCGAAAAAUGGUUGUUAUUUAUUGAUUGUUUACCGAUAAUAUUUGUUUAUCCUUUUCUGUUUUU
RNA transcript from Prosopis cineraria, 1763 nucleotides. It is a transcript of the gene named protein FLX-like 3, with no coding region annotated. The record is from RefSeq and is a predicted model, not a curated record. The transcript has 6 exons. NCBI's taxonomy places the organism in Eukaryota, Viridiplantae, Streptophyta, Magnoliopsida, Fabales, Fabaceae.